UUUCCGUAGGUGAACCUGCGAAAGGAUCAUUACCGAAUUGUCAAACGGGUUGUUGCUGGUCUUCAAACGGGGACAUGUGCACGCUCUGUUUACACAUCCACUCACACCUGUGCACCCUCCGUAGUUCUAUGGUCUGGGGGACCCUGUCUUCCUGCCGUGGUUCUACGUCUUUACACACACUCUGUAAUAAAGUCUUAUGGAAUGUAUGCCGCGUCUAACGCAAUACAAUACAACUUUCAGCAACGGAUCUCUUGGCUCUC
Molecule: unclassified non-coding RNA, 260 nt
Filed under: plant metagenome
Description: partial contains small subunit ribosomal RNA, internal transcribed spacer 1, and 5.8S ribosomal RNA
Source: RNAcentral